CCUGGCUCAGGAUGAACGCUAGCUACAGGCUUAACACAUGCAAGUCGAGGGGCAUCACGGGGGCUGCCUGCAGUCCCUGGUGGCGACCGGCGCACGGGUGAGUAACGCGUAUCCAACCUGCCCGCAACCGCGGAAUAGCCCGCCGAAAGGCGGAUUAAUGCCGCAUGAGCUCGCGCGAGGGCAUCAUUUCGCGAGCAAAGGUUUAUUCCGGUUGCGGAUGGGGAUGCGUCCGAUUAGGCAGCAGGCGGGGCAACGGCCCACCUGGCCAUCGAUCGGUAGGGGUUCUGAGAGGAAGGUCCCCCACAUUGGAACUGAGACACGGUCCAAACUCCUACGGGAGGCAGCAGUGAGGAAUAUUGGUCAAUGGGCGUGAGCCUGAACCAGCCAAGUAGCGUGUGGGAUGACGGCCCUACGGGUUGUAAACCACUUUUGCGCGGGGAUAACCGGCGGCACGUGUGCCGCCCUGCAGGUACCGCGUGAAUAAGGACCGGCUAAUUCCGUGCC
RNAcentral lists this ribosomal RNA (504 nucleotides) under uncultured organism. RNAcentral describes it as "SSU rRNA". It matches the Rfam family "Bacterial small subunit ribosomal RNA", at positions 18 to 509 of the family's 1533-position model. The record is from RNAcentral.